Molecule: ribosomal RNA, 343 nt
Filed under: Calanus hyperboreus
Lineage: Eukaryota; Metazoa; Arthropoda; Copepoda; Calanoida; Calanidae
Description: eukaryotic LSU rRNA
Rfam family: Eukaryotic large subunit ribosomal RNA
Source: RNAcentral
AAAUGCCUCGCCAUCUAAUUAGUGGCGCGCAUGAAUGGAUUAACGAGAUUCCCACUGUCCCUAUCUACUAUCUAGCGAAACCGCAGCCAAGGGAACGGACUUGGGAAGAUCAGCGGGGAAAGAAGACCCUGUUGAGCUUGACUCUAGUCUCCUUUUGUAGAGGAGCAUUUCUGGCGUAGAAUAGGGAGGAGGCUUCGGCCGACAGUGAAAUACUCCUACGGAAAUCGCUCCUCUGCUUACACGGUUAGGCGAAAUUAGGACCUUCGGGGCCUAUUUCUUGAAUCAAAUGGGUGGGCUUUUCUCACCCAUGAUUCGCUCCGUGGACAUUGCGAGGUGGGGAGUU